UGUUGAUGUUAAAGUUAAAAAUUUUGGCAUUUAAGCUACAGUAUACUACAAAAAACGACAUUUUAGUAGCUACAAAGUUAUUAAAAAAAAAAAAGUUAGUUUCUUAUUCGUAAUUCUUAUCUCUUCAGACUGUCCCUCUAUCUCUCUCUCCGUCUCACUUUGUUCUCUCUCUUUGCUUGUAUUCUUACUGACACUUCAUCACCCAACUUCAUUUCUCCUUAGGAAAGGGUUUGGAGCAAGAUCCACUCACUUGAUCAUCCCACACAUACCCAUUUCGGCUCCACCAAGAUAACUUUGCUUCAAUAGAUCUAACCCAGCCACAAACCCACUGAACAGACCCGCUAUCGCCGGCGCUACACACAGCUAAUCAAACUGCAAACUCAUUUCAUCUUCGUCCUUCGUCUGAGGGAG
Quercus lobata is the source of this 411-nucleotide long non-coding RNA. RefSeq lists it as uncharacterized. NCBI's taxonomy places the organism in Eukaryota, Viridiplantae, Streptophyta, Magnoliopsida, Fagales, Fagaceae. The record is from RefSeq and is a predicted model, not a curated record. The transcript has 2 exons.